This 1318-nucleotide ribosomal RNA is filed under the name metagenome. Its description in RNAcentral is "bacterial LSU rRNA". It matches the Rfam family "Bacterial large subunit ribosomal RNA", at positions 1561 to 2925 of the family's 2925-position model. The record is from RNAcentral.
AGUGGAUGGGGAGCAACCUAGUUGUGCGUGUGUAAAGGUAGUGCCAAGAAAAGCGGUGAUCAUGAUGAAAAUCAAUUCCCGGUACCCGAAACCGACACAGGUGGGCAAGUAGAGAAUACUAAGGGGCGCGAGGUAACUCUCUCCAAGGAACUCGGCAAAAUGACCCCGUAACUUAGGGAGAAGGGGUGCCACCGAGAGGUGGUCGCAGUGAAGAGGCCCAGGCGACUGUUUAGCAAAAACAUAGGUCUCUGCAAACUCGAAAGAGGAGGUAUAGGGGCUGACGCCUGCCCAGUGCCGGAAGGUUAAAGAAGUUGGUCAGUCUUAGGAUGAAGCUAGCGACUGAAGCCCCGGUGAACGGCGGCCGUAACUAUAACGGUCCUAAGGUAGCGAAAUUCCUUGUCGGGUAAGUUCCGACCCGCACGAAAGGCGUAACGAUCUGGGCGCUGUCUCGGAGAGAGGCUCGGCGAAAUAGGAUUGUCUGUGAAGAUACGGACUACCUGCAUUUGGACAGAAAGACCCUAUGAAGCUUUACUAUAGCUUGGAAUUGUGUUCGGGCUUCCUGUGCGCAGGAUAGGUGGGAGGCGUAGAAGGUAUUCUUGUGGGGAUACUGGAGCCAACGGUGAGAUACCACUCUCAGGAGGCUAGAAUUCUAACUUAAUUAAGGACAGUUUCAGGUGGGUAGUUUGACUGGGGCGGUCGCCUCCAAAAAGGUAACGGAGGCGUACAAAGGUUCCCUCAGACUGGUUGGAAAUCAGUCGAAGAGUGCAAAGGCAGAAGGGAGCUUGACUGCGAGAAGUACAGUUCGAGCAGGGUGGAAACACGGUCUUAGUGAUCCGACGGUGCUGUGUGGAAGGGCCGUCGCUCAACGGAUAAAAGUUACUCUAGGAUAACAGGCUGAUCUCCCCCAAGAGUUCACAUCGACGGGGAGGUUUGGCACCUCGAUGUCGGCUCAUCGCAACCUGGGGCGGAAGUACGUCCCAAGGGUUGGGCUGUUCGCCCAUUAAAGCGGUACGUGAGCUGGGUUCAGAACGUCGUGAGACAGUUCGGUCCAUAUCCGAUGUAGGCGUGAGAAUAUUGAGAGGAGCCUUCCUUAGUACGAGAGGACCGGGAAGGACGCACCGCUGGUGUACCUGUUAUGAUGCCAAUUGUAAACGCAGGGUAGCCAAGUGCGGAGAGGAUAACCGCUGAAAGCAUCUAAGUGGGAAGCCACCUCAAGAUGAGUAUUCUGGUGUAAGGUCACGGGAAGACGACCCGUAAAUAGGCACGAGGUGGAAGUGCAGAGAUGUAUGAAGCCGAAGUGUACUAAUAGACCGUCGGC